UAAAAUAAUUAAGGGCACACAAAGGAUGCCUAGGUAGUAAGAGCCGAUGAAGGACGUGGUAAGCUGCGAUAAGCCUAGAUAAGUUGCAAUCGAACGUAAGAGUCUAGGAUUUCCGAAUGGAGCAAUCUAUUAAGAUGGAGUCUUAAUACGAAAGAGGGAACCGCGUGAACUGAAACAUCUAAGUAACGCGAGGAAAAGAAAGUAAAAACGAUACCCAAAGUAGCGGCGAGCGAAAUGGGUCAAGCCUAAACCUUAAAUAUGUCAAGGAUACAGCCGUUGUAUUUAAGGGGUUGUGGGACAGAGUGAUGAAGAACUGUAAGAUAUUCAAUAUAGUGUAUUGAUGAAUUAGAAUUGUCUGGAAAGGUGAACCGCAGAAGGUGAAAGUCCUGUAUAAGUAAAUCCUUACACAUAUAACUUUGCUCCCAAGUAACAUGGAACACGAGGAAUUCUGUGUGAAUCUGUGAGGACCAUAUCUCAUAAGGCUAAAUACUCUUACUAACCGAUAGCGCAUAGUACCGUGAGGGAAAGGUGAAAAGAACCCCUGGAGGGGAGUGAAAUAGAACCUGAAAUUGUGUGCUUACAAGCGGUCAGAGCCAGUAAUGGUGAUGGCGUGCCUUUUGGAGAAUGAUCCUGCGAGUUACGUUAAACGGCGAGGUUAAGUAUAACGGAGCCGAAGGGAAACCAAGUCUUAAUAGGGCGAUUUAGUCGUUUGGCGUAGACGCGAAACCUGGUGAUCUAAACCUGUCCAGGAUGAAGCUGUGGUAAGACACAGUGGAGGUCCUAACCCACCGCCGUUGAAAAGUUGGGGGAUGAGGUAGGUUUAGGGGUGAAAAGCCAAUCGAACCAGGAGAUAGCUCGUUCUCUCCGAAAUGCAUCUAGGUGCAGCCUUGAGUGUUCAAUUAUGGGGGUAGAGCACUGAAUGAUCUAGGGGGCAUAUUGCUUACUGAAAUCAAUCAAACUCCGAAUACCAUAAUUUAUAGCUCAGGAGUGAGACUAUGGGAGUUAACUUCCAUUGUCAAAAGGGAAACAACCCAGACCACCAGCUAAGGUCCCUAAUUAUAACUAAGUGGGAAAGGAGGUGGAGAUUCACAAACAACUAGGAGGUUGGCUUAGAAGCAGCCAUACCUUUAAAGAGUGCGUAAUAGCUCACUAGUCGAGAGUCUCUGCGCCGACAAUGUAACGGGGCUAAGUUAUAAACCGAAGCUGUGGAAUCCGUAAGGAUUGGUAGGAGAGCGUUCUGUAGGCCGUUGAAGAAGAAGGGUAACCGACUUUGGAGGUAUCAGAAGUGAGAAUGCAGGAAUAAGUAGCGAGAAAGGGGGCGAGAAUCCCCCUCGCCGGAAGACCAAGGUUUUCAGGGUAAAGCUUGUCUUCCCUGAGUAAGCCGGGACCUAAGCCCAGGCUAUAAUGCGUAGGCGAAUGGAAAACAGAUUAAUAUUUCUGUGCCAGUCAUUUAUUGUGAUGGAGGGACGCAGAAGGGUAUGCGCGCGGACGAUCGGUUGUGUCCGUAGAAGUAUGUAGGAUGACUUAGUAGGUAAAUCCAUUAAGUUAUAUCUGAGGUAUGAUAUACAGUCGUAAGAUGAAUGCGCAAAUCCCACGCUGCCAAGAAAAGCUUCUAACGUUAAUAUAUGACUGCCCGUACUGUAAACCGACACAGGUGGUCAGGAUGAGAAAUCUAAGGCGGACAGGCUAACUCUCGUUAAGGAACUCUGCAAAAUAACCUCGUAACUUCGGGAGAAGAGGAGCCCUUGGGUGUUAGUAUCCAUGCGAUACAAAGCGCUCGAGGGUCGCAGUGAAGAGGCUCAAGCAACUGUUUAACAAAAACACAGGUCUAUGCUAAGCUGGAAGGCGAUGUAUAUGGGCUGACACCUGCCCAGUGCUGGAAGGUUAAGAGGAGGAGUGAGAGCUCCGAAUUGAAGCCCCAGUGAACGGCGGCCGUAACUAUAACGGUCCUAAGGUAGCGAAAUUCCUUGUCGGGUAA
Molecule: ribosomal RNA, 1978 nt
Filed under: human metagenome
Description: bacterial LSU rRNA
Rfam family: Bacterial large subunit ribosomal RNA
Source: RNAcentral